UAUUGCGCAAUGGGGGGAACCCUGACGCAGCAACGCCGCGUGAGUGAAGAAGGCCUUCGGGUCGUAAAACUCUGUCAUUAGGGAAGAAUAAAGUGACGGUACCUAAUGAGGAAGCCCCGGCUAACUACGUGCCAGCAGCCGCGGUAAUACGUAGGGGGCGAGCGUUGUCCGGAAUUACUGGGCGUAAAGGGUGCGUAGGCGGACAAUUAAGUCAGAUGGGAAAUACCGAGGCUCAACCUCGGAGGUGCAUUUGAAACUGUUGGGCUUGAGUGCAGGAGAGGAAAGUGGAAGUCCUAGUGUAGCGGUGAAAUGCGUAGAGAUUAGGAGGAACACCAGUGGCGAAGGCGACUUUCUGGACUGUAACUGACGCUGAGGCACGAAAGCGUGGGGAGCAAACA
This 398-nucleotide ribosomal RNA is filed under the name uncultured bacterium. RNAcentral describes it as "partial 16S ribosomal RNA". It matches the Rfam family "Bacterial small subunit ribosomal RNA", at positions 362 to 774 of the family's 1533-position model. The record is from RNAcentral.